AUCUACGGCCAUACCACCCUGAACGCGCCCGAUCUCCUCUGAUCUCGGAAGCAAAAAAGGAAGUCACAAGGGAAAAAUGGAAAAAAAUCAUUAAAGUAAAAAAUAAAAUGUGAAGCUGGGGCAG
RNAcentral lists this ribosomal RNA (124 nucleotides) under Marmota marmota marmota (Alpine marmot). Lineage: Eukaryota; Metazoa; Chordata; Mammalia; Rodentia; Sciuridae. The record is from RNAcentral.